AGCCCCGUAGUCUAGCGGUAAGGAUAGCUGCCUCUGGAGCAGCGGACGCAGGUUCGAAUCCUGCCGGGGCUA
This 72-nucleotide transfer RNA is filed under the name Candidatus Aenigmatarchaeota archaeon. Its description in RNAcentral is "tRNA-Gln". It matches the Rfam family "tRNA". From Rfam's summary of the family: Transfer RNA (tRNA) molecules are approximately 80 nucleotides in length. Their secondary structure includes four short double-helical elements and three loops (D, anti-codon, and T loops). Further hydrogen bonds mediate the characteristic L-shaped molecular structure. tRNAs have two regions of fundamental functional importance: the anti-codon, which is responsible for specific mRNA codon recognition, and the 3' end, to which the tRNAs corresponding amino acid is attached (by aminoacyl-tRNA synthetases). tRNAs cope with the degeneracy of the genetic code in two manners: having more than one tRNA (with a specific anti-codon) for a particular amino acid; and 'wobble' base-pairing, i.e. permitting non-standard base-pairing at the 3rd anti-codon position. Lineage: Archaea; Nanobdellati; Candidatus Aenigmatarchaeota. The record is from RNAcentral.